UCUCUCUCUCUCUUCCUCUAUUUCCCCAUUUCACCAUCUCGGAUCUAGGGUUUUAUUAGGUAGAUAGCAAUUGAUUUAAGGUACUGAACAAUUUAAGAAUAUUAUUAGUAGGUAAGUUAAUGGAAAAUUUUAGGACUCAAUUCCGUGAAGUCCUCUUCGCUUGAUAGGAUUGAAAUUUGCUCUGUAUUCUACAUAUGGGUUUUAACUUUUUUAUUAUUUUUUGAGUUUUAUAUUUCAAAUCCUACUCAAUUUAAGCAAAUGGGUUUCAAUUUGAUUUGUUUUUUUAUUAUAAAAAAAUGGCCUUGCUUUGAUUUGGUGGGGGUAGUGAUUUUUGUGAUCCUAAUAGCUAUUCGUGCUCAUGAUUGAAUGAUUUUGAGUUUUUUAUGCAUAACAAAAGCUUGAGUCACUGUGUAAUCUCAUCCUCCUUUUUGUUUUCUGAAUUUGAAUUUGAGGGCUUAACUGUGUGUAAGUAUUUACCUUCACAGAGAUGUAUGAAUUUGAAUAAUAAAGAAAGGGAAAAAAAAAGUAUUACUUAUUAUGGACCUCCUAGUUACACUGCUCUGUUUGUUCUCCAAGAAUGUGACAGUCAUCAAAGUAAGGCUGAUUUCUGCAAUGAUUUAUAUAGAUGCAAGAUACUUAAGUUUGAUAAGGAAUUUGUGAAUUGUCUUCUUCAUCAUUGUCAUUGAUCUACAACUCAGGAGUUUUGGAUCUUUCCUUUUUCUAUGUUGAGAAUCUCAUCAGUCAUGCUGAUCAACAUUGACUUGCUGUCAAACCAAUAUAGCCUCCUUAUUUACUGAGCUUUUUUACAUUGAUAAUCCUGGACAAAAUUAAUUUGGUCAGAAAUAGACAGUUGAUGGUUUGCGACUGUUAUGCUGGAAAAUGGAAACCAGUUGAGUUUUCAAGUUCUUAAUGUGCUUACACUCAAAGGAGUAUUUAAUUAGGAUACAAUAACUCUAUGCAUUGUAGCUUCCCCUGUACGAAGUUGUUCUUAUGUUUUUACAUUUGGGAGUGGCCACUGGGGCAGUUACCUACCUACCUUGGGUUUGUUGAAUAAUAAAAUGAUAUGUUGAAUAAUUGAACUGUAAGAUUUUGAUUGUAUUUGGUCCUAGUUAUUAUAAGACUUCAAUUGGUACAUCACAAUAAACAACUUGGACAGCUGAACUUCCCAUUGCUUAAGAGGAAGAAAAAAAAUCUGCAGAAAACACAGGACUAAAAAUUAUAGGCAGGUUUGCCACAAUUUGGUGGCAUAACAAUAACACCUACCUGCUGUCAUAUAUAUUUUUUCUUAUAUGAAGGAUUUUUGAUAGAUGGUGCUUACAUAUUCCCAUUAUGGAUCGAACACCAUUUACAGGUUUCUGUCCCUCUUAAUAAUGCAGUCAUAAAAAAGUGGCCAAAUUCAGGUGCAUCUGGACAUCCAUUGGGAACUGGAUAUUUACAUUUUUGUGCUCCCAUAGUUUGGAGUGGAUUUUACUUUGGUCCUUAUAGUUUUAAUUGUAAUGUAUUGAACUUCAUAUUUUUUAAUUGGUUUCAAUUAGGUCCAACUGUUAAUUGUUGUUAGCGAUUUGGAUGCAAAAAAUACAUGUCAAUAUCAAAUAACUUUCUUUGAUCAUGUGAAGCCCUCAUGAAUCUCACGUGGAUCACAUGGAACUGAAGUGGAACUCAAGUGUAUUUAAUUCUUGUCUAAAUUCUUAAGGUGAAGUUGACAAUUAAACUUAAUAUACACAACAAUGUGUCAUACUUGAAACUAUGAACACUAAAUGUUUUGAUGGGAUCGUGGACAUAAUCUCUUCGAGGAUGCCUUGCACUUGCAGUUGCUGCUCAUAAUCCUGAUAUUGAUUUUGUCAAACCCAGCUACAUGUUUUAACAAGUCUCAGCUGCAACCUCUACUACACUUAUUACAAAUCAUGCCUAAGCAGUUCCUUCCUGGCUUGCCUUAUACGCUGAGUUCAAUUUCAGGAGAAACUUUGAUGGAGAGGUUGCAAAACAAGAUUUUCACUAUCCACUAAUUCUACCAAAAUUUCCAGGCCAUUUCUAUUACUUUUUUGGCAAGCCAAUUGAAACAGAAGUUUUUGGGUGGAUGGGUUAUAUUCGCAGAGUAGGCUAGACCAAGACCACAACCUACUCAGUUCAAGAACAAUGCUGGAUCACCACCUCUUGGAUAUGGGUCUCCAUAUGGUUGUCAGUGAAUUAUUAGUGGAAGAAGCUGGUCAUUUUAAAGAUAUCAGAUUGUUUUGACAGCAAUUGUGCUUACUCUCAGUUCUUUAUUUUGACUUGCUGAGAGCCGAGUCUAGCCUUAUAUGAAUCUGAGCAGAGAUUGAAUUGAGAAAUAUAGACUUGAAUUGCUACAUGUUAAGACAUUUUUGUGUAGACUAUUUGCAUCUGCUAUUCAUGAAUAUCCUGUGACAAUUUAUACUAAUGAGACUGCAUUAAGACACUUCAAAUUUAUGCAUGUUGGGACCUCCUCGGAGCCAUCGUUUCCUUAUGUUUCCAAAUUUUAACAAUUAGAUAUUAAUUUUGUUUAAUCCUCUGUUAUGUAUGGAAUUAUAUUU
Molecule: non-coding RNA, 2549 nt
Organism: Camellia sinensis
Lineage: Eukaryota; Viridiplantae; Streptophyta; Magnoliopsida; Ericales; Theaceae
Source: RefSeq, a predicted model, not a curated record